RNAcentral lists this ribosomal RNA (266 nucleotides) under uncultured bacterium. RNAcentral's name for it is "partial 16S ribosomal RNA". It matches the Rfam family "Bacterial small subunit ribosomal RNA", at positions 87 to 353 of the family's 1533-position model. The record is from RNAcentral.
UAUGGCGACCGGCGCACGGGUGAGUAACACGUAUCCAACCUGCCGAUGACUCGGGGAUAGCCUUUCGAAAGAAAGAUUAAUACCCGAUAGCAUAAUGAUUCCGCAUGGUUUCAUCAUUAAAGGAUCCGGUAAAGGAUGGGGAUGCGUUCCAUUAGGUUGUUGGUGAGGUAACGGCUCACCAAGCCUUCGAUGGAUAGGGGUUCUGAGAGGAAGGUCCCCCACAUUGGAACUGAGACACGGUCCAAACUCCUACGGGAGGCAGCAUG